Molecule: ribosomal RNA, 230 nt
Filed under: uncultured bacterium
Lineage: Bacteria
Description: partial 16S ribosomal RNA
Rfam family: Bacterial small subunit ribosomal RNA
Source: RNAcentral
UACGUAGGGUGCAAGCGUUAAUCGGAAUUACUGGGCGUAAAGCGUGCGCAGGCGGUUUGUAAGCCAGAUGUGAAAUCCCCGGGCUUAACCUGGGAAUGGCAUUUGGGACUGCAAGGCUUGAGUGCGGCAGAGGAGACUGGAAUCCUGGUGUAGCAGUGAAAUGCGUAGAUAUCAGGAGGAACACCGAUGGCGAAGGCAGGUCUCUGGGCUGACACUGACGCUCAUGCACG